GAACGCUGGCGGCGUGCCUAACACAUGCAAGUCGAACGGAGAAUAUACGCUUCAGAAGCUUCGGCAGAUGAUUGUAUAUUCUUAGUGGCGGACGGGUGAGUAACGCGUGGGCAACCUGCCUCAUACUGGGGGGAUAACAGCUGGAAACGACUGUUAAUACCGCAUAAGCGCACAGUGUCGCAUGACACAGUGUGAAAAACUCCGGUGGUAUGAGAUGGGCCCGCGUCAGAUUAGCCAGUUGGCGGGGUAACGGCCCACCAAAGCGACGAUCUGUAGCCGGCCUGAGAGGGCGGACGGCCACAUUGGGACUGAGACACGGCCCAAACUCCUACGGGAGGCAGCAGUGGGGGAUAUUGCACAAUGGAGGAAACUCUGAUGCAGCGACGCCGCGUGAGUGAAGAAGUAUUUCGGUAUGUAAAGCUCUAUCAGCAGGGAAGAAAGGCUCGUAAGAGAGAUGACGGUACCUGACUAAGAAGCCCCGGCUAACUACGUGCCAGCCGCCGC
RNAcentral lists this ribosomal RNA (504 nucleotides) under uncultured bacterium. RNAcentral's name for it is "bacterial SSU rRNA". It matches the Rfam family "Bacterial small subunit ribosomal RNA", at positions 31 to 518 of the family's 1533-position model. The record is from RNAcentral.